AAGUCGAAGAGGAGGAGGAGGAGGAGGAGGAAGAAGCAGAGCCAGAAACAGAGGCAGAGACAGCCUUAG
This 69-nucleotide non-coding RNA is filed under the name Aurantiochytrium limacinum. The record is from RNAcentral. Lineage: Eukaryota; Bigyra; Thraustochytrida; Thraustochytriidae.